ACUCCUUCCCCAAAUUCCGAUCUGCGAAGGCAUCAGAGGAGAACGGCUGUGAGAAGCAGUGGGCGGGAACCCAUCCUUGGCUAGGUUUACAGUGCUGUUGAAGGGGCUGAUGGCGGCUACUGUUUGUUUUUACCGUCUCUCGCUCUCUCUCUCUGAUAAUUCCCUCCAAGUUGGACACUUAAAAUAAGGUCCUCGUAAACUCCUUCAGCUUGAGAGUUUCCAGGAAAGGGAAUGUUAAUUUUGUUGACAAAUUUCAGUAUCCCAAAGCCCCAGGUCUUAAUUCAUUGUCAAACUCUCGGUCCUGAGCCUGCAUACUCCCCUUGUGCUCCUAAUUAGUCUUGUCAUGAGCUCCUAUGCUGUUGUCUUAAACACAGCCCUGUGUCCUGGGAGCCAAAGGGCGCUUUGGGGUGCGUAGUGCUGUAUUUGUGUAUAUUUAAAAAAAAUAGUCAUCGCUCGUCUUGCUGUGGCCGCCAUCAUUUUUCCGUGGAGGUGUUGCCAUAGAGAUGUUGUCUGAUCCAUCUCUAUUGAUAUCACCCUUUAAAGGGGCCCCUGAAUAGGCACUGAGAUACAUGAAAUGGCAGCUACGAAACAUCUUAAAAGGUCAGAAAAUAAAUGAAUUGUUGGCUAGAGGUCAGCCAACAAUAAAAAAUUUGGAUGAUCAAAACUGCUUGACAUAUAUACAAUGCUAGCGUGUCCAUCUUGCAGAGGGCUUAAAGAUGAUCCACAUCAGCUCCCACAUUACACAGACAGUUGCGUUUGGAGCAUGGAUCAGACCUCACUUAUUCUGGAGUUCUCAAGGACUCCCAACAGCACCUGCUCAGAAGCCCUGGAAAGUCAGAGCACAAUUAAGGACAUUCGCUCUAAGAAGACACUCUCACGGUUAUCGCUGGAACCCAGGGUCCCUCCAAUUGGAAAUGUGAAGUCAAAGGAGGAAAUUGCUCUUAGGCUGAGUCACAAGACUCGUGUCCUUUUCUCCUGAGGUAGAUAAGAGACACACACACAGGCAGAUACACACCUCAUGCCUCCAGGAGCCGCAGAGGCAGAGAAUGCAAAAAAUGUGGUGGUGCCAGCCGCAGCGAGGUCUGGAAAUGCCUUCUUAAUUGAGCCUUUCUGGGAGCUGCACAGGCUGGCUGGAGGAGGGACAGGAAUGGAGAGGCGAGUGAGGUGGAAGGGGCCACGAAGGGCCAUGUCUGAGAUGGGGCCCAGGGGUCUUUGAUCCUACUUCGUUUGUCAUGAGUUUAGAGACCCAGAAAAAAGAGCCUUGAGUUUCUUCCAAUAAAGCACUGUUACCUGAAAAA
Molecule: long non-coding RNA, 1298 nt
Organism: Homo sapiens (human)
Lineage: Eukaryota; Metazoa; Chordata; Mammalia; Primates; Hominidae
Source: Ensembl